This 213-nucleotide long non-coding RNA is filed under the name Elaeis guineensis (African oil palm). RNAcentral describes it as "long non-coding RNA (EGUI_LNC047119)". Lineage: Eukaryota; Viridiplantae; Streptophyta; Magnoliopsida; Arecales; Arecaceae. The record is from RNAcentral.
CCCAUCAGAGAACCAAACAUAUCCUGCAUCGCUAUCAUCUUAUUUGUGAGAUCGUCAAUUGAGGUGACGUCGAGCUGUUGAAGAUUGAUGGAAAGAAAAACCUAGCCAACCCCUUUACUAAAGCUCUCGGGAUCAAAGAGUUUGAUGACCACAAGUGGAAGAUGGAUAUUAGAUACAGUCUUGAUUGGCUUUAGUCCCAAUGAGAGUUAUUGG